Molecule: ribosomal RNA, 429 nt
Filed under: uncultured prokaryote
Also listed under: 1 other name
Description: bacterial SSU rRNA
Rfam family: Bacterial small subunit ribosomal RNA
Source: RNAcentral
UUAGGAAUAUUCGGCAAUGGGGGAAACCCUGACCGAGCAAUGCCGCGUGAGUGAUGAAGGUUCUAUGAAUUGUAAAACUCUGUUGUAUGGGAAGAACGGUCAGUAUAGGAAAUGAUACUGACGUGACGGUACCAUGCCAGAAAGCUCCGGCUAACUACGUGCCAGCAGCCGCGGUAAUACGUAGGGAGCGAGCGUUAUCCGGAUUUAUUGGGCGUAAAGCGUGUGUAGGCGGUUUAUUAAGUAUAAGAUUAAAACCUGAGGCUCAACCUCAGUUCGUCUUAUAAACUGGUAGACUCGAGUAUAGUAGAGGCAAGUGGAAUUUCUAGUGUAGCGGUAAAAUGUGUAGAUAUUAGAAGGAACACCAGUGGCGAAGGCGACUUGCUGGACUAUCACUGACGCUGAGGCACGAAAGCGUGGGGAGCAAAUAGG